Molecule: non-coding RNA, 139 nt
Organism: Triticum aestivum (bread wheat)
Lineage: Eukaryota; Viridiplantae; Streptophyta; Magnoliopsida; Poales; Poaceae
Source: Rfam
AUAACACUCCCUUCGUCCCAAAAUUCUUGUCUUAAAUUUGUCUAGAUACGGAUGAAUCUAAUUAAUAUUAAAACAUAACUUGAUACAUCCGUAUUUAGACAAAUCUAAGACAAGAAUUUUGGGACGGAGGGAGUAUCAA